This 326-nucleotide ribosomal RNA is filed under the name uncultured eukaryote. RNAcentral describes it as "partial 18S ribosomal RNA". It matches the Rfam family "Eukaryotic small subunit ribosomal RNA", at positions 1470 to 1796 of the family's 1831-position model. The record is from RNAcentral.
CCCUUAGAUGUUCUGGGCCGCACGCGCGCUACACUGAUGCAUUCAACAAGCCUAGCCUUGACCGAGAGGUCCGGGUAAUCUUUGAAACUGCAUCGUGAUGGGGCUAGAUUGUUGCAAUUAUUAAUCUUCAACGAGGAAUGCCUAGUAAGCGUGAUUCAUCAAAUCGCGUUGAUUACGUCCCUGCCCUUUGUACACACCGCCCGUCGCUCCUACCGAUUGAAUGUGUUGGUGAGGAGCUCGGAUUGGCAGCAGUUGGUGGUUCGCCACCGGCUAUUGCUGAGAAGUCCUCCAAACCGCCCCAUUUAGAGGAAGGAGAAGUCGUAACA